This 1662-nucleotide ribosomal RNA is filed under the name Campylobacter jejuni. RNAcentral describes it as "partial 23S ribosomal RNA". It matches the Rfam family "Bacterial large subunit ribosomal RNA", at positions 1271 to 2925 of the family's 2925-position model. Lineage: Bacteria; Pseudomonadati; Campylobacterota; Epsilonproteobacteria; Campylobacterales; Campylobacteraceae. The record is from RNAcentral.
UGCUGGAGCGAAUAGAAGUGAGCAUGCAGGCAUGAGUAGCGAUAAUUAAUGUGAGAAUCAUUAACGCCGUAAACCCAAGGUUUCCUACGCGAUGCUCGUCAUCGUAGGGUUAGUCGGGUCCUAAGUCGAGUCCGAAAGGGGUAGACGAUGGCAAAUUGGUUAAUAUUCCAAUACCAACAUUAGUGUGCGAUGGAAGGACGCUUAGGGCUAAGGGGGCUAGCGGAUGGAAGUGCUAGUCUAAGGUCGUAGGAGGUUGUACAGGCAAAUCCGUAUAACAAUACUCCGAGAACUGAAAGGCUUUUUGAAGUCUUCGGAUGGAUAGAAGAACCCCUGAUGCCGUCGAGCCAAGAAAAGUUUCUAAGUUUAGCUAAUGUUGCCCGUACCGUAAACCGACACAGGUGGGUGGGAUGAGUAUUCUAAGGCGCGUGGAAGAACUCUCUUUAAGGAACUCUGCAAAAUAGCACCGUAUCUUCGGUAUAAGGUGUGGUUCGCUUCGUACUAGGAUUUACUCCGAAAGCGAAGAAACUUACAACAAAGAGUCCCUCCCGACUGUUUACCAAAAACACAGCACUCUGCUAACUCGUAAGAGGAUGUAUAGGGUGUGACGCCUGCCCGGUGCUCGAAGGUUAAUUGAUGGGGUUAGCAUUAGCGAAGCUCUUGAUCGAAGCCCGAGUAAACGGCGGCCGUAACUAUAACGGUCCUAAGGUAGCGAAAUUCCUUGUCGGUUAAAUACCGACCUGCAUGAAUGGCGUAACGAGAUGGGAGCUGUCUCAAAGAGGGAUCCAGUGAAAUUGUAGUGGAGGUGAAAAUUCCUCCUACCCGCGGCAAGACGGAAAGACCCCGUGGACCUUUACUACAGCUUGACACUGCUACUUGGAUAAGAAUGUGCAGGAUAGGUGGGAGGCUUUGAGUAAUAGACGCUAGUUUAUUAUGAGCCAUUGUUGAGAUACCACUCUUUCUUAUUUGGGUAGCUAACCAGCUUGAGUUAUCCUCAAGUGGGACAAUGUCUGGUGGGUAGUUUGACUGGGGCGGUCGCCUCCCAAAUAAUAACGGAGGCUUACAAAGGUUGGCUCAGAACGGUUGGAAAUCGUUCGUAGAGUAUAAAGGUAUAAGCCAGCUUAACUGCAAGACAUACAAGUCAAGCAGAGACGAAAGUCGGUCUUAGUGAUCCGGUGGUUCUGUGUGGAAGGGCCAUCGCUCAAAGGAUAAAAGGUACCCCGGGGAUAACAGGCUGAUCUCCCCCAAGAGCUCACAUCGACGGGGAGGUUUGGCACCUCGAUGUCGGCUCAUCGCAUCCUGGGGCUGGAGCAGGUCCCAAGGGUAUGGCUGUUCGCCAUUUAAAGCGGUACGCGAGCUGGGUUCAGAACGUCGUGAGACAGUUCGGUCCCUAUCUGCCGUGGGCGUAAGAAGAUUGAAGAGAUUUGACCCUAGUACGAGAGGACCGGGUUGAACAAACCACUGGUGUAGCUGUUGUUCUGCCAAGAGCAUCGCAGCGUAGCUAAGUUUGGAAAGGAUAAACGCUGAAAGCAUCUAAGCGUGAAGCCAACUCUAAGAUGAAUCUUCUCUAAGCUCUCUAGAAGACUACUAGUUUGAUAGGCUGGGUGUGUAAUGGAUGAAAGUCCUUUAGCUGACCAGUACUAAUAGAGCGUUUGGCUUAUCUUU